UUGACAUCGAGAGUGGAUAAGAGAGUAAUCAACUGCCGAUUCAGAUAACAAGGCUGGAACUUACUACAUGCCAAAACAUCCAAUUUUAUGUUAUCUGAAUCAUACUUGUGCAUACUCUUCCUCAGUGACAACUUCAAAGAUGAGGUUGGAUCAACAGCCACAACUCCUUUGAAUCCACAAUACCGAAUCUGAAAGGCAGAUGGCAUUGAAUCAUGACCACAUUUUUUAGCCACUCUCCUGGCAAGUUCAAUAGAUAUUUUCCCGAUUCCAUCAGAGAAGACAUAUUUGGUUGCACCAUGUUUAACCUUCACGUCAGAAAUAGUUUCAAUUUCGUUCCUGCUGACGCUUAGAGUUUCGGUAGACGAACCAAAUGACUGUCCAAGUCUAGCAGCAUAUUUAGCCACAUUUUUUAUACGGCUAAAAUCUCCCAUCCAUUCCCUUAUGGAAUCGGCGGUAAGUCCAGUUGUUGUAGGAGAAAACAUCCAUAGCGAGUUUUCACGCAACUGACUUGAUGAGAAAGCCAGAAAUUCAAACUUCUUACCACCAAUAUCUAUGCCAUUUCUAAGGAUGGAAAGAAUUCUAUAGUAUAUCUUAGUUCGCCCACUCUCAGAAAUGUGUGAAGAUAAAUCUGCUGAAUACAGUUUAUCCAACCCCUCAUCAACAAAAGAAACACGUAGAAAGUUAUCGAUAUGUUUAUGAAAACGACGGAGAACACGAUUAGAUACAUUAAUCUCUGGACCACAAAAGUAUACUUUGGAAGGUGUUAUCUGAACCCUGCGAACAUAUACCAACCCGUCAUCUAAAGAUAUAGUCGGUGACGGAGGCAGGUAAUUUGACUUGAUAUACAUUUUGUACUGGUCUUUCAGCCACCUUGCGGGUUCAUAACAGAAAUCCUUUGAAUAGUACAUUUUUUCUAAAGCGUGCUCGACGCAAUCACUGGUCAUUUUAAGUGGAUCAACUAGACGGUAGAAAUCAUUAUCGAGUUCAGAACCUGAAAGACAACCAUGCUGAACCAAUGCAUUAACUUUAAACAUGAUAUCAAAUGGAAUAUUAAUGCCUCGAGGAGGAGCAACAAUAGGGACAACAUCCAGAUUGCGAGAAAAAGGUAACCCUCUCUCCAAAGUGUAAUUCCCCUCAAUUUCCUCAUAAUGAGCAAAGUUUUCCCUGAAAUUCGGAAAAUCUCUGUUACUAGGAAGCUCUAUACAUAAUGCCGAAGAGUGCCCAAUACAACUGAAAGGUGUGAAAUCUAUGGAACGGGUCCAUUGCUCAUCAGGGGAAUCUUUAUAAUAAUUCUUCGCAGGAUCUUCGUAUACAUUUUUUGAAUUGGGAAUAUAAAGCUCAAAAACCUGAGGAGCACCAAUUAACUACAAACAGAAGAGAAACAAAUAAGAUUCGUCAAACGUUAUGCAGCAAAUUUAGUAGUAUACAAAUAAAGAGCAGACAAUUUUAGAAGUAUCGAUAAGAGUUCAGAGCUAAAGACUGAAAUUGGCAUUAAGUAACACAUUAUUCAGUAAACAUUAAAUUGCGUGAAACUGUUUAUCUUUAAUAAGUAACAAGUUAUCCAGUAUAUGCACAAAAAUUUCCUGCAAUGCUAUGGAAGAAAUGGUAUCCAUUGAAAUCUUACUUAAUAUGAAAUGAAAAUUGUGAAAACAUCUACCACAGUUCAUGAAGCAUAAAUGAGAUAUAGCACGCAUUAAUGAAACGAAAAAGCUUUGCAUGUCAGGGAUUUUAUUCAUCAUAUAAAAGUUACAUUUAACAACCUGAAUCAAUAGAUACUUGGCAGUUUUACCCCGUGGUCGAUGCAGCUCAAUCUUCCCAAUGUUCUCAUAUGAAAGCUCAAGUUUGAACUUCUUAUCAUGAUGGCGCAUAGAGAAUCGCCACUUUCUCAUUCCAAUGCCAAAUUCAACACUAACAUCCACCUCUCUCCAUAAUGCAGAGAAUCUUUCCUUUGAGAUCUGACAGCCAAAAUGCAGUUUCACAUCAUCUAAACUUUCCAAAAAUGCUCUUGGUCUUGGAUUAAUAUCUCUUUCCAUUUCCCGAACUUUUAAAUCGUAGCCCCCAUACCGCCAUGUUGGCAAACUUAUGUUAGACAAGGUCAUCAUAUACGUAGCAUGUUUAGCAGUGGUGAAUUGAAUAAUUGCAAAUGCUCUUCGAACAUGGCCUUUGCCUUCUCUUAUCUUCAUAGCAACCACACUUCCUUCACCGGUAUAGUGCUCUACGAAACUCUUUACAUCAUAUACAGUCUCAUAACAAGGGAAUCCAGAUAACUCAAUUGUUUUACUUUUACCCAUCCUCAAUGCCAACUCUUUUGAUUUCCCUGAAAUCGAUCUAUGUUAAAAAAAAAUAAAAAAUUAUGAAUGUCAUCACUACAUCAAGUUAUAGAUGUCAAUCUAAGUUUACAUUUUACAAGCAUAAUCAAUUAUUUUCUAUGCUUAAAGCAGUGAAAGUUUAUACACACCACAUUCAUAUUUCAGAACAUACCUAUUGUGCCACAGGACAAUAGUUAUGUUUAAUAUCUUGAAAAAAAUAAAAUAUCUCUUAACAGGUGAAAAUAAUUGUAACAUAUAGGUAUGGGUAUAGAAACAAAAUCAAAGCUACAUAGGUUAUUACUUAUUACAUUAGAUCUUCUUUGACUAAUCAAUAAUCUAUCAUCAAAGUAAUAAAAAUAUUGAUAUUAAUUCAAAUGCAUAAGAAUUUAACUUCUUCAACAUAAUCUAAGUAAAAACAUGUAGAAUUAAUGCAAAAUAUACUCUUCACAACUCAACCCUGCACAUUGAAGUUCAAACUCCAAGUGUGACCCUCACCCUGCUGCAAUAAAGAAUAAGUUCAAGCAUGUAAAGACAACUUGUAUAUAUCUUAGGACCAUUUUAAUCCCUUGAUUACAUAUAAAGAAGAUGAAGAUAGAAAAAAAAAUAUUAAAACCAAAUCGUUAUUUUUUUUGAAGAAACUAAAUUAACAUUGAACAUGAGACCUCGAAAAGGAGCACACUUCCAGAUCCCAAGUCAAUGCCACUGGACCAACCCAAGUGGGUUUAAAACCAAAUCGUUAUUAAAUGACUGUAUACACAAAACUUGACAACCUUAGCAUCACCUCUAUGCUUGAACCAUGUAAACUCUAUGCUACCUCAUUACUCUAAAUAAUCAAUGUUAGAGCCUUUGUUUUAGUUCAAUACGUUGAUUCAAACAUCAUAAAAAUCAAAUGUAUCUCCAAUAAAAAAAAUAAAAAAUUGAAAAAUUAGGUUAAAAAUUUGAUCUUGUUGUUUUAAAUACUAUGUAGGGUUGAUUAUACUUUACAGAAUCAAUUGUUUACACUCAUACCAAAAUUGACCCUUCAAAGUAAAAAAUUACAGCUUAUCAAAAAAUAACUUCAGCUGAAAUUCAGAAAAAGAAGCAGAAGACCACCAAUUUAAAAAAAAAAAGUAAAUACUUGAGUUCACUUCUAAUAUAUAUUAAAAAAUUAAAAUAUGAAGGUGUGAUAAAAACGUAAACUUUAUAGAUGUAAGAUACAAAAAAAAAAAUGUUAACUUUACUUGAGAGAUGAAAAACACAAAAGUGUAAGUUUCCGUUCACUUCAAAUAUAUAUAAGAAAGAAAAAGUCUAGAAGUCCUAGCUCAACUGACAAAUAUCGAAAUUGCAAGCCCGAACGUUGUGACCCUGGUUCGAAUUCAGGACUUCAGAGUUGUGUGUGAGUUUAUUUUCAGUGGAUUACCACUUCAUCCAAGACCAAAAAAAAAAUAUAAGAAAGAAGAAAAAAGACUAAAGGAUUUUUCAUUCUAUUAUACAACCGUACAUGAAAAGCUUCAUUAGAAUAUAAAAAGAAAAUAAAAUAUUAAUGAGGGUAUAUGUUAUAAGCAAGAGAAAAUGAUCAGCACUUACCUUGAUAAACAAAGAUUUAAGAAAAUAAAAUGUUAAUGAAGGUAUAAUGUCGUUGUGUUGAGGAGCAUGAAGACACGGAGAGAGAAAGAAUGUACAUGUCCUCAAUGCCAGUGCAACACUUUUACAUUGCCAACCCAACUAUUUGAACUCAGUAUCGUGAGCUCCAAGACUACGAAUUUAAUAUAUAUAUAUAUAUAUAUAUAUAUAUAUAUAUAUAUAUAUAUNUGUUAUCUGAAUCAUACUUGUGCAUACUCUUCCUCAGUGACAACUUCAAAGAUGAGGUUGGAUCAACAGCCACAACUCCUUUGAAUCCACCAUACCGAAUCUGAAAGGCAGAUGGCAUUGAAUCAUGACCACAUUUUUUAGCCACUCUCCUGGCAAGUUCAAU
RNAcentral lists this long non-coding RNA (4263 nucleotides) under Medicago truncatula (barrel medic). RNAcentral describes it as "long non-coding RNA (MTRU_LNC000761)". The record is from RNAcentral. Lineage: Eukaryota; Viridiplantae; Streptophyta; Magnoliopsida; Fabales; Fabaceae.